AGGUUCUUGGAUCCCCUGGGGUAAAGCGGGGCAGGGCGGCCUGAUAAGUGGAUGUGAAAGCCUUCGGCUCACCCGUAGACUGCAUCCAAAACCUGUCAGGCUAGAGUGUGGAGAGGGAAGAUGGAAUUAGUGUGGUAGGGGUAAAUUCCGUAGAGAUAACUAGGAAUACCUAAGCGAAGGCACCCUUUCUGGAACACUACUGACGUGAGGGCGCGAAGCGGGGGGGAGCAACGGGGAUAGGAUACCCCGGUAGUCCACGCAGUAACGGAUGAAUGUUAGUCGUCGGGUAGCUAGUCUAUUCGGUGAUGCAGCUACGCCAUUAAACAUUCCGCCUGGGGAGUACGGUCGCAAGAUAAAACCUCAAAGGAAUAGACGGGGACCCGCACAAGUGGUGGAGCAUGUGGUUAAUUUCGAAGAUACGCGAAGAACCUUACCUAGCCUUGACAUAUAUUAGAAUCUUUCAGAGAUGAGAGAGUGCCUUCGGGAGCUUUUAUACAGGUGCUGCACGGCUGUCGUCAGCUCGUGUCGUGAGAUGUUGGGUUAAGUCCCGCAACGAGCGCAACCCUCGUCACUAGUUACUAACGGUUCGGCCGAGGACUCUAGUGAGACUGCCUUCGCAAGGAGGAGGAAGGGAGGACGACGUCAAGUCAUCAUGGCCCUUACGGCUAGGGCAACACACGUGCUACAAUGGUUGGGACAAUGAGACGCGAUACCGCGAGGUGGAGCAAAUCUAUAAACCCAAUCUCAGUUCGGAUUGUUCUCUGCAACUCGAGAGCAUGAAGCUGGAAUCACUAGUAAUCGUAGAUCAGCUAUGCUACGGUGAAUACGUUCCCGGGUCUUGUACUCACCGCCCGUCACACCAUGGGAGUUGAUUUCACCCGAAGCGGGGAAGCUAAACUGGCUACCCUCCACGGUGGAAUUAGCGACUGGGGUGAAGUCGUAACAAGGUACC
Molecule: ribosomal RNA, 952 nt
Filed under: uncultured Campylobacterota bacterium
Lineage: Bacteria; Pseudomonadati; Campylobacterota
Description: bacterial SSU rRNA
Rfam family: Bacterial small subunit ribosomal RNA
Source: RNAcentral